RNAcentral lists this long non-coding RNA (1250 nucleotides) under Medicago truncatula (barrel medic). Its description in RNAcentral is "long non-coding RNA (MTRU_LNC001049)". Lineage: Eukaryota; Viridiplantae; Streptophyta; Magnoliopsida; Fabales; Fabaceae. The record is from RNAcentral.
GCCACUUGAAGUAUGACCCACUUCGUAUGUUCCUCUUUAUCUUCUUGUACAAUCCUUUGUGCAAGGUAGAUGAUAAGAUGCCAUUCACUAAAGAGGAGAUCAAACUAAAAAGAUAUAUGGAGUGAAUGACAUGUCACGGUCAUAAUAGAUGUAGAUUUAUUUUACGUUUUUAAUAUCUCAACAAUCAUUCAUGUGAGUGACAUCUGAGUUUAUGUUUAGGGUUGUACUCUUUGAUUUAAAUAAUAUUUCCUCAAGUUUAUCAUGUGAUGUUAUUUGUGUGUACUGAGUAUCAUCUGCGUGCAACUGCAGAGAUUAAUCUUUCGAGUCGAAUAGGAUCUUCGUAAAUGACAAAGCUCUCCAUCAAGAAAUUUAACAGUGAUGUAUUCUCGUGACUCUAUUCGAACCCCAGAACCUCCGGUUUAGUUGAAAGAGAUCUCUUAUCAUCUUAUCUAAGUGUUAUUGCGUAUUGUAUUUCUCAUUUGAUUAUUAAUAAAAUGCAUUACUUUGAUUGCUAUAAAUAAAAAGAAGCAAAGUCAGUACUCUCUAUAAUCUAUAAUGUGAGAUCGAUUUAAAAAAUGUACAAAAAUGAACAACCAUUUCAAUUUUAAUGUAGUGUGAAUCAUUUUUUUUCCACCAAUUAUGACUUGGUCAUAGUGGUAAGGGAUUUCAACCUCUUAAACUAGUUUGAUUCUUGGAUGAAUAUUCGAUCUGGAUAACAGAAUGGACUUAUUAUGCCCUACAUGUUACUUCUUGAAAAUGUGUAUGUCAGCCCCAAAAUUUAUAUGGAUCAAGUUGGUGUAAUAAUAAGUACAUCAGUGAACUUUUCCUCAAAAAAGAAAGUACGUGGACUAUUGGCGGACUCAAUAAUGUUGGCUUGUUUAGAGUGAUAUUCUCUUCCUUUUUGACUCUUUUGUAUUGAAUAUUCUUAAGUUAACACCAGAACUUUCGGCAAUGGUGGAGUGGAUAAUUGGAUUGGUAUGGUGUUAAAAAAAAUGUUUUAUUGAUUUUUUUUUUUAAUGGAAGAAUGUUUUAUUGAUAUUAUUUGCUAUAUUUGUCUCAUUGUAAGUGUUCCUUUGAAUAGUGUACGACGUUGGGCAUCGAAUUUUUGCUUAAAGAGAUGCAACAUAGAGUAACAAGCUUAUAGUUAAUUUAUGUUCAGAGUUGAUAAUUAGUAUAUUUUUCAAAUUUACCAUUUAUAAAUUUUAUUCUUUACUUAUUGGGUUUGAUAAAUGAUGUAAAAUAAUUUGUAC